UGGACCCUCAAAAGCCCUUUAAA
This 23-nucleotide transfer RNA is filed under the name Pristimantis orestes (Urdaneta robber frog). RNAcentral's name for it is "partial tRNA-Phe". Lineage: Eukaryota; Metazoa; Chordata; Amphibia; Anura; Strabomantidae. The record is from RNAcentral.